GAUGAAGAACGCAGCGAAAUGCGAUACGUAAUGUGAAUUGCAGAAUUCAGUGAAUCAUCGAAUCUUUGAACGCACAUUGCGCCCUUUGGUAUUCCAAAGGGCAUGCCUGUUCGAGCGUCAUUUGUACCCUCAAGCUUUGCUUGGUGUUGGGCGUCUUGUCUCUAGCUUUGCUGGAGACUCGCCUUAAAGUAAUUGGCAGCCGGCCUACUGGUUUCGGAGCGCAGCACAAGUCGCACUCUCUAUCAGCAAAGGUCUAGCAUCCAUUAAGCCUUUUUUUCAACUUUUGACCUCGGAUCAGGUAGGGAUACCCGCUGAACUUAAGCAUAUCAAUAAGCGGAGGA
This 341-nucleotide unclassified non-coding RNA is filed under the name soil metagenome. Its description in RNAcentral is "partial contains 5.8S ribosomal RNA, internal transcribed spacer 2, and large subunit ribosomal RNA". The stretch from base 1 to 120 matches the Rfam family "5.8S ribosomal RNA", at positions 35 to 154 of the family's 154-position model. The record is from RNAcentral.